Molecule: non-coding RNA, 199 nt
Filed under: Sphingobium sp. CECT 9361
Lineage: Bacteria; Pseudomonadati; Pseudomonadota; Alphaproteobacteria; Sphingomonadales; Sphingobiaceae
Source: RNAcentral
AAGAGGCGCGCUGCGACAGGUUCCCAGAGAUGGGAUUGAAAGGGAAUUCGGAAAUGGAGCGAUCCAUGAUCCGAAGCUGCCCCCGCAACUGUGACCGGCGAGUGCUCGCCCAACAUACCACUGGAUGUUCGCAUCCGGGAAGGUGGACGAGCAUGAUGACCCGCGAGCCAGGAGACCUGCCUGUCGUUGUCGAUCCUUC